CCUACGGGAGGCAGCAGUGGGGAAUAUUGCACAAUGGGGGAAACCCUGAUGCAGCGACGCCGCGUGAAGGAAGAAGUAUCUCGGUAUGUAAACUUCUAUCAGCAGGGAAGAAAAUGACGGUACCUGACUAAGAAGCCCCGGCUAACUACGUGCCAGCAGCCGCGGUAAUACGUAGGGGGCAAGCGUUAUCCGGAUUUACUGGGUGUAAAGGGAGCGUAGACGGAUGGGCAAGUCUGAUGUGAAAACCCGGGGCUCAACCCCGGGACUGCAUUGGAAACUGUUCAUCUAGAGUGCUGGAGAGGUAAGUGGAAUUCCUAGUGUAGCGGUGAAAUGCGUAGAUAUUAGGAGGAACACCAGUGGCGAAGGCGGCCUGCUGGACUGUUACUGACACUGAGGCACGAAAGCGUGGGGAGCAAACAGGAUU
Molecule: ribosomal RNA, 424 nt
Filed under: uncultured Anaerobium sp.
Lineage: Bacteria; Bacillati; Bacillota; Clostridia; Lachnospirales; Lachnospiraceae
Description: bacterial SSU rRNA
Rfam family: Bacterial small subunit ribosomal RNA
Source: RNAcentral